RNAcentral lists this ribosomal RNA (524 nucleotides) under uncultured bacterium. Its description in RNAcentral is "bacterial SSU rRNA". It matches the Rfam family "Bacterial small subunit ribosomal RNA", at positions 10 to 518 of the family's 1533-position model. The record is from RNAcentral.
AGUUGAUCCUGGCUCAGAUUGAACGCUGGCGGCGUGCUUAACACAUGCAAGUCGCGCGUGAAAGGACUUCGGUCCGAGUAAAGCGGCGCACGGGUGAGUAACGCGUGGAUGAUCUACCCAUGAGUUAGGAAUAACGGCUGGAAACGGUCGCUAAUACCAAAUACGCUCCGAUUUCAACUUCGGGGGAAAGGUGGCCUCUGCUUGCAAGCUACUGCUCAUGGAUGAGUCCGCGUCCCAUUAGCUAGUUGGUGGGGUAACGGCCCACCAAGGCGACGAUGGGUAGCCGGUCUGAGAGGAUGACCGGCCACACUGGGACUGGAACACGGCCCAGACUCCUACGGGAGGCAGCAGUGGGGAAUAUUGCGCAAUGGGCGAAAGCCUGACGCAGCGACGCCGCGUGAGGGGAAUGAAGGUCCUCGGAUCGUAAACCUCUGUCAGGAGGGAAGAACCGCCACGGUGCUAAUCAGCCGUGGUCUGACGGUACCUCCAAAGGAAGCACCGGCUAACUCCGUGCCAGCCGCGGC